UCUCACUAGCCUGGUCACAGAGUCCUUCAGCUUCUUUGCUUUCUCCCUCACACUUCCUGAAAGGCCUGAUACCAGCCAUGCAAGCUGGGGAGAGGCCCCUUCCAUGGCCAUUCUUUCCUCUCUGCAAAUCUGUCCCGGAAAGAAAGGUUUCGUUCCUGGGAAAAGACGCUUCAGGAGGUAGGGACCUUGACGAUGUGCUCAGGAUUCCUCUCCAGCCUCCCCUUUGACCUGCACCCUGCUCUUAUCCUGCACUCUGGCUGUGGUGACCUCCACGUUGUUCUACUCUUCCUGGGCCAGACUGUGAGGGCUCACCUCUGCCCAGGGCCUCUCUCAUGCUCUCUGCCUGGAAAGUCUGCUCUCACUCAGUCUACCCACCCAACAGACACCUCCCCGUGAGGUACCUUCAAGUCUUAGAAGAAAGUCUUGAAAGAUCUCUUAAGAUGCAGCACAAGCACCAGAGUCUUCCUGACAUCUUUCCCGACCACCACUCUGUCUUCCCCUCAGAGGAGUAGUUAACAUGGUGGGUGUUCCCCAUUUUAGCAGCAACUGGCUGACCGGGGGAGGGCGUGUGGGGGAUGGAGUUCAAGUCUGUUAGGCAAUGGUAUGAGAAAUUCGCUCAGCAGAAACCGUCAGUGGGAGGAAGGGGGAUCCAGGAUUAACUCGACUUUGGAUUUGGCAACGACAUUUUGGCCCUCGGCCUGCGUGAAACUGGAGUGGGCUUGGAAGAUAUGAAGCUGCUGGCUGGAAGAAAUCAGUCUAC
Long non-coding RNA from Mustela erminea (ermine), 760 nucleotides. RefSeq lists it as uncharacterized. The record is from RefSeq and is a predicted model, not a curated record. The transcript has 2 exons. Lineage: Eukaryota; Metazoa; Chordata; Mammalia; Carnivora; Mustelidae.